AUUUAAUAUGAUAGUAGUAAUACUAAUAGCAAUUAAAUUAUAUUGAUCCAAGUACCUAGGCAAUAAAAAAUUGAUAAGCAAAGUUGGGUAUUUAUGCCUUUGAAGUAUAAUAAAAAACAAGUGGGUUGUUACAGAACUAAUAUACCUUGCUUGAAUGGAUAAACUUCUUGCUGCAAACAUUUCUCUUCGAAUUCACCAAACCUUGGAAUGGUGUUGGCGAUGGAGGACUAGCAGAGUUCAAGAUCCAAAAAUGUGAUAGCUAGAUUAUUGAGAGUCAUUAUAGCUCAGAUCAAAUUUGUCGGAGCAGGGAGAAAACCAUCAAGAAACCUGAACUUAUUCUUGGAAAUAUGGGCCUGAUUUCAACCAUUCUGCAAUGGAUUUCAUCUGAUGUGGAGAUGGAACAACAGUGUAUUUCAAGCUUGAAGUCACUAGUGUCUUUGACAUCACUAAGACAAAAAGAAACAUUUUUCAUCUUUAUGUAGAAAAAAAAAAGGGAAACAAAAUUAAAUCACCUAAUAGCACAGUAAUAUACCUUUGGGCUAAAACAAA
RNAcentral lists this long non-coding RNA (549 nucleotides) under Trifolium pratense (red clover). Its description in RNAcentral is "long non-coding RNA (TPRA_LNC006770)". The record is from RNAcentral. Lineage: Eukaryota; Viridiplantae; Streptophyta; Magnoliopsida; Fabales; Fabaceae.